GAAAGACCCCGUGAACCUUUACUAUAGCUUGACACUGAACAUUGAGCCUUGAUGUGUAGGAUAGGUGGGAGGCUUUGAAGUGUGGACGCCAGUCUGCAUGGAGCCGACCUUGAAAUACCACCCUUUAAUGUUUGAUGUUCUAACGUGGACCCGUUACCCGGGUUGCGGACAGUGUCUGGUGGGUAGUUUGACUGGGGCGGUCUCCUCCUAAAGAGUAACGGAGGAGCACGAAGGUUGGCUAAUCCUGGUCGGACAUCAGGAGGUUAGUGCAAUGGCAUAAGCCAGCUUGACUGCGAGCGUGACGGCGCGAGCAGGUGCGAAAGCAGGUCAUAGUGAUCCGGUGGUUCUGAAUGGAAGGGCCAUCGCUCAACGGAUAAAAGGUACUCCGGGGAUAACAGGCUGAUACCGCCCAAGAGUUCAUAUCGACGGCGGUGUUUGGCACCUCGAUGUCGGCUCAUCACAUCCUGGGGCUGAAGUAGGUCCCAAGGGUAUGGCUGUUCGCCAUUUAAAGUGGUACGCGAGCUGGGUUUAGAACGUCGUGAGACAGUUCGGUCCCUAUCUGCCGUGGGCGCUGGAGAACUGAGGGGGGCUGCUCCUAGUACGAGAGGACCGGAGUGGACGCAUCACUGGUGUUCGGGUUGUCAUGCCAAUGGCACUGCCCGGUAGCUAAAUGCGGAAGAGAUAAGUGCUGAAAGCAUCUAAGCACGAAACUUGCCCCGA
RNAcentral lists this ribosomal RNA (720 nucleotides) under Salmonella enterica. RNAcentral describes it as "partial 23S ribosomal RNA". It matches the Rfam family "Bacterial large subunit ribosomal RNA", at positions 2083 to 2802 of the family's 2925-position model. The record is from RNAcentral. RNAcentral also lists the same sequence under 1 other name. Lineage: Bacteria; Pseudomonadati; Pseudomonadota; Gammaproteobacteria; Enterobacterales; Enterobacteriaceae.